UUCACUGAUUCACCAUGGCAUCUCGUGCAGCGUACUUCUCCCCGCUGGAGCAGGAGAUAAUUAUGGAGGCGUAUGAAGAGGUCAAAGACCAAAUAAAAAAAAAGGAAACACCGCCACUGCAAUAAAACAACGACAGAAAGCGUGGCAAAGUAUUGCAGAUCGCCUGAAUGCAUUAAACAUGACUGGGCCCAAACGAACUUGGCAGCAAGUCAAGAUAAAGUACAAGAACAUCCUGCAGAACGGUCCUGACAAAUAUUAUGCAUGUACAUACUUUGUACCCAGAGGGUGCCUGCUCACAUAUUGUCAGUACUUAUGUAGCAAUUUAAAAAAAAAAACCCACAAGCAAGGCACGGGUGGUGGGUCACCACUAGCUGACCUAACCCCAGCUGAGGACAGAGCCUUAGAAUCAAAUAUGUGUCCCUCCCAAGAAGAUGCCUCCCUCUUCAUCAAAGGUGCAUUCUUCCAUCUUUACAUGGGACAUAUAACCAUUCAUAUUGAAUCCAUCUGGACUAUCUGACUUUAGUUUACCUUGCAGUGUCUGGAAACAUCGCUUCACUGUUGGAGCCUCCAACACUGGGGUCACAAAUACCAGAAGAAGAUGAUGAUCCAGUGAGUACUCCAUCAAAGGCCUACUGUAGGCCUGCAUGUCUCAUCUAGUAGUUUCAAUAUGAAUCCCUUUUAGAUAUGACAGGGUGAAGGCACCAGUGGAGCAGCAGCAGACGACUUUGAUGAGGUGACGAACUCUCUUGAUUCAAGAAGGCUUGAGGACCCAGAUGCUGUACAGGGUGAAAGCCAGCCGUGCAACAUAGUGAGUAUUAAUGGAAGUGCAUUCUCAAAAUGUAAAAUUCCCGCUAAUUGCUGUGCUAAUUGUUAUGUAUUUUCAGAACUCACAAGCUAUCAGGCAGUUAUAUGCCACACAUCUUAGACAGCAAAUAAAGCUGGCAGAUCUGGACAUUGAAUAUAAAAAAAACAAAUUGAAGACCUCUCAUUGGAAUCUGAACUCAAAAGGAAGAAACUCAGAAAAUUGGACCUCGAAAUAAAAAAGAAAAUAGUUUUACCUUCAGUGCAGACUGUAUGCUGACUGUAACACAAUGUAUUAAUCAUUAUUCUCCUUUCCUUACCAGCUCCAAGAAGAUGACGAAUCUUAAUAAAAAGAUUAAAUGACUAGGAUUGCAGAUUGUAAUUCCAGUCUGUGACAUAAUGCCUAGUGUCAUCUCUAUGGUAGCCCCAAGUGGUCUGAUUGGUUGGAAGUCACACACCAAAGACUGGCUGUUUUAAGACAAGAAGAAAGGCACAUAAUGUACCUGAAAUGCUAUUUCCCAGAUAUCAAAACACUUCAUGGCAGAAGUUGAGCAGUUUGAAAGUCAGACAGGGGGCAUUUUAAUCAAUUAUCUAUUCUUUAAGGCAGCAGGUAUCCUGAUUGGAUAACCAUUUGUAGCUUGUGAAGGUGCAAAGGUAUUUCUCA
Long non-coding RNA from Chelmon rostratus (copperband butterflyfish), 1465 nucleotides. RefSeq lists it as uncharacterized. The transcript has 3 exons. The record is from RefSeq and is a predicted model, not a curated record. NCBI's taxonomy places the organism in Eukaryota, Metazoa, Chordata, Actinopteri, Chaetodontiformes, Chaetodontidae.